This 370-nucleotide ribosomal RNA is filed under the name uncultured organism. RNAcentral's name for it is "partial 16S ribosomal RNA". It matches the Rfam family "Bacterial small subunit ribosomal RNA", at positions 527 to 896 of the family's 1533-position model. The record is from RNAcentral.
AGAGGGUGCGAACGUUGCUCGGAUUUACUGGGCGUAAAGCGCGUGUAGGCGGACUCGCAAGUCGGUUGUGAAAUCCCUGGGCUCAACCUAGGAACUGCAUCCGAAACUGCUUGUCUUGAGUAAUGGAGAGGGUGGCGGAAUUCCCGGUGUAGAGGUGAAAUUCGUAGAUAUCGGGAGGAACAUCAGUGGCGAAGGCGGCCACCUGGACAUUUACUGACGCUGAGACGCGAAAGCGUGGGGAGCAAACAGGAUUAGAUACCCUGGUAGUCCACGCCGUAAACGAUGAGAACUAGGUGCAGCGGAUAUUGACCUCUGCUGUGCCGUAGCUAACGCGUUAAGUUCUCCGCCUGGGAGUACGGCCGCAAGGCUA